ACAAUGAGGGAGAAGGAGAAUAGAUAUGGUUGAGUUAAUUAUAGAAAUCAUUCUGGUGAUUGGAUUUAAUCAGUGUCUUCUUGGGAAGUGCAACUAAUAAAAGUUACACUUUUUUUUCUAAUAAUUGUGGUUUUAGACUCAAUAACUGUUGUUUCUCCUCUCACCCUAUUCAU
RNAcentral lists this microRNA precursor (173 nucleotides) under Oryza sativa (Asian cultivated rice). Its description in RNAcentral is "miR5492 stem-loop (osa-MIR5492)". Lineage: Eukaryota; Viridiplantae; Streptophyta; Magnoliopsida; Poales; Poaceae. The record is from miRBase by way of RNAcentral.